GAUGAACGCUGGCGGCGUGCCUAAUACAUGCAAGUCGAGCGAACAGACGAGGAGCUUGCUCCUCUGACGUUAGCGGCGGACGGGUGAGUAACACGUGGAUAACCUACCUAUAAGACUGGGAUAACUUCGGGAAACCGGAGCUAAUACCGGAUAAUAUAUUGAACCGCAUGGUUCAAUAGUGAAAGACGGUUUUGCUGUCACUUAUAGAUGGAUCCGCGCCGCAUUAGCUAGUUGGUAAGGUAACGGCUUACCAAGGCAACGAUGCGUAGCCGACCUGAGAGGGUGAUCGGCCACACUGGAACUGAGACACGGUCCAGACUCCUACGGGAGGCAGCAGUAGGGAAUCUUCCGCAAUGGGCGAAAGCCUGACGGAGCAACGCCGCGUGAGUGAUGAAGGUCUUCGGAUCGUAAAACUCUAUUAUUAGGGAAGAACAAAUGUGUAAGUAACUAUGCACGUCUUGACGGUACCUAAUCAGAAAGCCACGGCUAACUACGU
This 496-nucleotide ribosomal RNA is filed under the name uncultured bacterium. Its description in RNAcentral is "partial 16S ribosomal RNA". It matches the Rfam family "Bacterial small subunit ribosomal RNA", at positions 28 to 506 of the family's 1533-position model. The record is from RNAcentral.